GUGAUCCUACGGGGCGCAGCAGUGGGGGAUAUUGCACAAUGGGGGAAACCCUGAUGCAGCGACGCCGCGUGUGGGAAGACGGUCCUCUGGAUUGUAAACCACUGUCCCCAGGGACGAAGAUGACGGUACCUGGGGAGGAAGCUCCGGCUAACAACGUGCCAGCAGCCGCGGUAAUACGUAGGGAGCGAGCGUUGUCCGGAAUUACUGGGUGUAAAGGGAGCGUAGGCGGGGAUGCAAGUUGGGGGUCAAAACUACCG
This 257-nucleotide ribosomal RNA is filed under the name uncultured bacterium. Its description in RNAcentral is "partial 16S ribosomal RNA". It matches the Rfam family "Bacterial small subunit ribosomal RNA", at positions 333 to 606 of the family's 1533-position model. The record is from RNAcentral.